GACGAACGCUGGCGGCGUGCUUAACACAUGCAAGUCGAACGGAAAGGCCCUGCUUUUGUUGGGUGCUCGAGUGACGAACGGGUGAGUCGCACGUGAGUAACCUGCCCUUGACUUUUGGAUAACUUCAGCAGACUGGGGCUAAUACCGGAUAGGACCUCCUGCUGCAUGGGGGGGGUUGGAAAGGUUGGGGGGUGGGGGAUGGACUGGCGGCUUAUCAGCUGGUGGGUGGGGUGGUGGCUUACAAGGGCAUGGACGGGUGGCCGGCCUGGGUGGGUGCCCGGCCACAUGGGGAUUGGAAUACGGCCCGGACCCCUCCGGGAGGAAGAAGGGGGGAAUAUUGCACAAUGGGCGGAAGCCUGAGGAAGCAACGCCGCGUCCGGGAUGACGGCCUUCGGGUUGUAAACCGCUUUCGCCUGUGACGAAGCGUGAGUGACGGUAAUGGGUAAAGAAGCACCGGCUAACUACGUG
This 468-nucleotide ribosomal RNA is filed under the name uncultured bacterium. RNAcentral describes it as "partial 16S ribosomal RNA". It matches the Rfam family "Bacterial small subunit ribosomal RNA", at positions 28 to 507 of the family's 1533-position model. The record is from RNAcentral.